RNAcentral lists this ribosomal RNA (292 nucleotides) under uncultured bacterium. RNAcentral describes it as "partial 16S ribosomal RNA". It matches the Rfam family "Bacterial small subunit ribosomal RNA", at positions 505 to 796 of the family's 1533-position model. The record is from RNAcentral.
GUGUCAGCCGCCGCGGUAAUACGUAGGGGGCAAGCGUUGUCCGGAAUCAUUGGGCGUAAAGCGCGUGUAGGCGGUUCAGUAAGUCUGCUGUGAAAGUCCAGGGCUCAACCCUGGGAUGCCGGUGGAUACUGCUGGACUAGAGUGCGGAAGAGGCGAGUGGAAUUCCCGGUGUAGCGGUGAAAUGCGCAGAUAUCGGGAGGAACACCAAUUGCGAAGGCAGCUCGCUGGGACGUUACUGACGCUGAGACGCGAAAGCGUGGGGAGCAAACAGGAUUAGAAACCCCCGUAGUCC